UGGAAGAAGAGCAGACCGUCACCUGCAGGCAGCAGUUGUGUGAUGGAGUGGGGUCAAUCCCUGACGUGCAGCCGAAGAGGAGGUGUCUGCUGACCCGGACGGAUCCCAACUGCAGUCAAGUAGAGAAGAGGAGGAUGCACAGCAAACAGCAGAGCCCAGCAGAGCCCAGCAGAAGUCCAGGAUCCAAUUCCGCAACCAGGAAGCCUAAUAGAGAAGCUUUUUGAAUUUAUUUCCUUCUGUCUCUUCUUCUCUUCUCUGUCUCCUAAAC
Molecule: long non-coding RNA, 268 nt
Organism: Saccostrea echinata
Lineage: Eukaryota; Metazoa; Mollusca; Bivalvia; Ostreida; Ostreidae
Exons: 3
Source: RefSeq, a predicted model, not a curated record